RNAcentral lists this ribosomal RNA (522 nucleotides) under uncultured Glomeromycotina. RNAcentral describes it as "SSU rRNA". It matches the Rfam family "Eukaryotic small subunit ribosomal RNA", at positions 570 to 1094 of the family's 1831-position model. Lineage: Eukaryota; Fungi; Glomeromycota. The record is from RNAcentral.
GCAGCCGCGGUAAUUCCAGCUCCAAUAGCGUAUAUUAAAGUUGUUGCAGUUAAAAAGCUCGUAGUUGAAUUUCGAGACCGGCUUACUGGUCGUGCUAUUGUGCGUACUGGUAUAAUCGGUUUCUCCUUUCUGACGAACUAUAAUGCCAUUAAUUUGGUGUUAUAGGGAAUCAGGACUGUUACUUUGAAAAAAUUAGAGUGUUUAAAGCAGGCUCACGCUUGAAUACAUUAGCAUGGAAUAACGGAAUAGGACGUUUGAUUCUAUUUUGUUGGUUUCUAGGAUCGACGUAAUGAUUAAUAGGGAUAGUUGGGGGCAUUAGUAUUCAAUUGUCAGAGGUGAAAUUCUUGGAUUUAUUGAAGACUAACUACUGCGAAAGCAUUUGCCAAGGAUGUUUUCAUUAAUCAAGAACGAAAGUUAGGGGAUCGAAGACGAUCAGAUACCGUCGUAGUCUUAACCAUAAACUAUGCCGACUAGGGAUCGGAUGAUGUUAAUUUUUUAAUGACUCAUUCGGCGCCUUACGGG